RNAcentral lists this ribosomal RNA (253 nucleotides) under uncultured bacterium. Its description in RNAcentral is "partial 16S ribosomal RNA". It matches the Rfam family "Bacterial small subunit ribosomal RNA", at positions 103 to 354 of the family's 1533-position model. The record is from RNAcentral.
CGGGUGAGUAACACGUAUGCAACCUGCCUGCCACAGCCGGAUAAUCGGGAGAAAUUCCGUCUAAUACGGCAUAAUGCAUCGACGGGACAUCCUGUUGGUGCCAAAGGUUGAUUCCGGUGGUGGAUGGGCAUGCGUCGCAUUAGUUAGUUGGCGGUGUAACGGACCACCAAGACGACGAUGCGUAGGGGUUCUGAGAGGAAGGUCCCCCACACUGGUACUGAGACACGGACCAGACUCCUACGGAAGGCAGCAG